Long non-coding RNA from Malaclemys terrapin pileata, 1037 nucleotides. RefSeq lists it as uncharacterized. NCBI's taxonomy places the organism in Eukaryota, Metazoa, Chordata, Testudines, Emydidae. The transcript has 5 exons. The record is from RefSeq and is a predicted model, not a curated record.
UCGAUCAGUCCUGCGCCUAUGUUGCGCGCUCCCAUUUCCCUCCCUCCUCCUCCUUCUCCUUCUCCCCACCCUGGGCCGAACGAGACGAGCUGCGAGGGAGGGGCUGCUGCGACGCGCUCCCGCUGUGGUGGUAAUACAGCACUGGAUAUAUUUAAGAAACAGCCUCCUGAUUUUAUUAGCGAGACAAGAUUAUCAGCUUUGGAAAAUCGGAAGUGGCAACUGGCACCUAUUUCUAUUCCUCUCUAAUGGAUUGGUGUCAUCCAAAACCAUUUGUGUUUUCUUCCAUACCACUCAUGUGCUACAAGUGCUAUGAUAGACUAUAAUAAUACAAUUUAAGGGCCUCAUUCAUGGUGCCCUUAUGCUGAUCCUGACUUCAGGUGGACUUUGCAGACAGGGAACAACUCGAAGGUCUGCCGCCCCAACUCGAAGGUCCGCUCAUAUUCAGGGGAAGAAUCCCACUCCUGUGGACUGGCUGUAACAGCAUGUCUGAUCUUUCAACACCACUUUGCUACAGCAGCUCAUGCACUCCUGGACAAGAACGCUACUGGCCCUUUACCACUCAUGGAUGAUCGGCAGCACCAAGUAGCCGACGACAACAUUCUUAUAGCAUGGAAACACUGGUGGGAAAGAGAGUCUAACAUGCUAUGUAAAUUCAGGAGUCCAUCACUGCACCUGCCUCCUUGUCCUCUUGAUCAUAGAUCCUGGAUCAGGUUCAACAGGGGUUAUUCUCUGGCUCAUCCAGAAUUGCUGCAACUAUAUGGCAGACUGGUUUGGCUUCCUCUCCAUGCUGUGAUGGGGUGUGUGCGGGGGAAGAGGGGUAGCAUUGCAGACAAUGACUCAUGGAGUGGAAGAGUGCCCAAUUCAACAUCUGGAGGGUGGUUUACAAAACCUCGCCUCCCUAAACACAGAAGCUAACCUUUGGCUACAGAACCUGGACAUUGAGCUCUGACAUCUGCACAUGAGAGGAGGAGUCUUGCCUGUGGCCUAGCCACACACUUUUAUAUAAUAGAUAGUGACCGCUUCAAGUGAGUUCUCAG